CUGCAUGUGGAGUUCUAUUUUGUUCCUCUUCCUCCGUGGGGGGCAAAUUUGCCUAUCGCAUGCAACAGUCAAAGGAGUUAUCAGGGCUGCCAGACGUAAAGUACAGGCUGCGUGGUAGUAUAUCACUCCUACAUAU
Molecule: small nucleolar RNA, 136 nt
Filed under: Leptobrachium leishanense (Leishan spiny toad)
Lineage: Eukaryota; Metazoa; Chordata; Amphibia; Anura; Megophryidae
Description: Small nucleolar RNA U109 (ENSLLEG00000016622.1)
Rfam family: Small nucleolar RNA U109
Source: Rfam by way of RNAcentral